Molecule: ribosomal RNA, 427 nt
Filed under: uncultured bacterium
Lineage: Bacteria
Description: partial 16S ribosomal RNA
Rfam family: Bacterial small subunit ribosomal RNA
Source: RNAcentral
UGGGGAAUAUUGCACAAUGGGCGCAAGCCUGAUGCAGCCAUGCCGCGUGUAUGAAGAAGGCCUUCGGGUUGUAAAGUACUUUCAGCGGGGAGGAAGGCGAUAAGGUUAAUAACCUUGUCGAUUGACGUUACCCGCAGAAGAAGCACCGGCUAACUCCGUGCCAGCAGCCGCGGUAAUACGGAGGGUGCAAGCGUUAAUCGGAAUUACUGGGCGUAAAGCGCACGCAGGCUGUCUGUCAAGUCGGAUGUGAAAUCCCCGGGCUCAACCUGGGAACUGCAUUCGAAACUGGCAGGCUAGAGUCUUGUAGAGGGGGGUAGAAUUCCAGGUGUAGCGGUGAAAUGCGUAGAGAUCUGGAGGAAUACCGGUGGCGAAGGCGGCCCCCUGGACAAAGACUGACGCUCAGGUGCGAAAGCGUGGGGAGCAAACA